RNAcentral lists this ribosomal RNA (482 nucleotides) under uncultured bacterium. Its description in RNAcentral is "bacterial SSU rRNA". It matches the Rfam family "Bacterial small subunit ribosomal RNA", at positions 401 to 893 of the family's 1533-position model. The record is from RNAcentral.
GCGAUGAUGAAGGUUCGGAUCGUAACUCUGUUGUAGGGAAGAACAAGUGGAUACUGACCCACCUUGACGGUACCUAACCAGAAAGCCACGGCUACUACGUGCCACGCCGCGGUAAUAUAGUGGCAAGCGUUGUCCGGAAUUAUUGGGCGUAAAGCGCUCGCAGGCGGUCUUUAAGUCUGAUGUGAAAGCCCACGGCUUAACCGUGGAGGGUCAUUGGAAACUGGAGGACUUGAGUACAGAAGAGGAGAGUGGAAUUCCACGUGUAGCGGUGAAAUGCGUAGAGAUGUGGAGGAACACCAGUGGCGAAGGCGACUCUCUGGUCUGUAACUGACGCUGAGGAGCGAAAGCGUGGGGAGCGAACAGGAUUAGAUACCCUGGUAGUCCACGCCGUAAACGAUGAGUGCUAGGUGUCAGGGGGUUUCCGACCCUUAGUGCUGAAGUUAACGCAUUAAGCACUCCGCCUGGGGAGUACGGCCGCCAGG